UACGUAGGUGGCGAGCGUUGUCCGGAAUUACUGGGUGUAAAGGGCGUGUAGGCGGGUUAUCAAGUCAGAUGUGAAAUUCCAGGGCUCAACCCUGGCGCUGCAUCUGAAACUGAUGAUCUUGAGUGCUGGAGAGGAAAGCGGAAUUCCUAGUGUAGCGGUGAAAUGCGUAGAUAUUAGGAGGAACACCAGUGGCGAAGGCGGCUUUCUGGACAGUAACUGACGCUGAGGCGCGAAAGCGUGGGGAG
RNAcentral lists this ribosomal RNA (245 nucleotides) under uncultured Oscillospiraceae bacterium. Its description in RNAcentral is "partial 16S ribosomal RNA". It matches the Rfam family "Bacterial small subunit ribosomal RNA", at positions 524 to 768 of the family's 1533-position model. The record is from RNAcentral. Lineage: Bacteria; Bacillati; Bacillota; Clostridia; Eubacteriales; Oscillospiraceae.